GUAGAUAGUAAAGGCACAUUUUGAAGUUUUGCGUCGGGUACAAUAUUUGAUUGCUACGGCCCUAGCCGGGAGGCACUGUUUUAGGUGAGAAGUUGGGGAGGUAGGAUAUGGAAAAAAAUUUAUUAUAUAUCAAUACGCAAUGAUUAAUCAUUGUAAAUGAAAAACGAUUUUAAUCGGAGUUCGAUUAUACAUUUUUUAAAGGCCGUGAUAUUUUUGAUUUUCAUCAAAAUAUAUACCUAACUGAAUUCCGUUUAGAAUCGUUUUUCGUUGGGUACAGAUAUAUAUUAAAUUCUCCUCUAUAUUCUACCUUCCCAAUUUCUUACCUACAAUAGUGGUCGACACAUCGUACGAAGUAUGUCUACAUUUUUUGUGUUAAUUUUCCAAGCAUUUCUAUUCGACCAAAACAAGAUAUAAUAAGGAAUAAAAACUAGACAAUUUCAAAUGGCUAUAAAUAGCUCCGAAAUCUCC
Molecule: non-coding RNA, 468 nt
Organism: Cinara cedri
Lineage: Eukaryota; Metazoa; Arthropoda; Insecta; Hemiptera; Aphididae
Source: the annotation of a GenBank genome assembly